Molecule: ribosomal RNA, 497 nt
Filed under: uncultured bacterium
Lineage: Bacteria
Description: partial 16S ribosomal RNA
Rfam family: Bacterial small subunit ribosomal RNA
Source: RNAcentral
GAUGAACGCUGGCGGCGUGCCUAAUACAUGCAAGUCGAGCGAACAGACGCGGAGCUUGCUCCUCUGACGUUAGCGGCGGACGGGUGAGUAACACGUGGAUAACCUACCUAUAAGACUGGGAUAACUUCGGGAAACCGGCGCUAAUACCGGAUAAUAUAUUGAACCGCAUGGUUCAAUAGUGAAAGACGGUUUUGCUGUCACUUAUAGAUGGAUCCGCGCCGCAUUAGCUAGUUGGUAAGGUAACGGCUUACCAAGGCAACGAUGUGUAGCCGACCUGAGAGGGUGAUCGGCCACACGGGAACUGAGCCGCGGUCCAGACUCCUACGGGAGGCAGCAGUAGGGAAGCUUCCGCAAUGGGCGAAAGCCUUACGGAGCAACGCCGCGUGAGUUAUGAAGGUCUUCGGAUCGUAAAACUCUGUUAUUAGGGAAGAACAAAUGUGUAAGUAACUAUGCACGGCUUGACGGUACCUAAUCAGAAAGCCACGGCUAACUACGUG